GCCGCCGUAGUCUAAAGGUAUGACAACGGUCUGAAAAGCCAGCGAUAUCUGGGUUCAAAUCCCAGCGGCGGCG
RNAcentral lists this transfer RNA (73 nucleotides) under Candidatus Woesearchaeota archaeon CG10_big_fil_rev_8_21_14_0_10_37_12. Its description in RNAcentral is "tRNA-Phe". It matches the Rfam family "tRNA". Rfam says of the family: Transfer RNA (tRNA) molecules are approximately 80 nucleotides in length. Their secondary structure includes four short double-helical elements and three loops (D, anti-codon, and T loops). The record is from RNAcentral. Lineage: Archaea; Nanobdellati; Candidatus Woesearchaeota.